This is a long non-coding RNA of Megalobrama amblycephala (Wuchang bream), 531 nucleotides long. RefSeq lists it as uncharacterized. The record is from RefSeq and is a predicted model, not a curated record. The transcript is spliced from 3 exons. NCBI's taxonomy places the organism in Eukaryota, Metazoa, Chordata, Actinopteri, Cypriniformes, Xenocyprididae.
UAACCGAGACGUUAAUUUUAGACCCUGCUUGGCCGCCAUGAAGCUGACAUGAACCAUAUUGAAAAUUUAAUAAAAUCUGUAAACGGUUAAUCAGAUACGGUUAAUUACUUCACGAUUUGUUUACUUAAAUUCUUUGUAAUGACAAUGAACCAGCCAAAUCAAUGAUUUAGAGUUGUUUAUAACAAAAUAUUCUCAUUUGUCGCCACUUACUGGUUUAACGUUAACGUCAUGUGUGAGUCUAUUCAUUCCUAUAAAUCUAACAUACUUUUUAUUUUCAGCAGCUGGAGGAGAGACAGCCUGUGUAGCAACAACAAGACAACAAUGAUUAUAAGCAGGGAUAAUCUCCAGGUGGACUGCACGGGUCCAGGAUCAAGAGAUCAUUCAUCAUGCACACCAUGUUCCAGGAGAAGCAGCGUAUCCUGGGUCUGCUUGAUCAUUUUGUUGUCCUGGAUGUGAGAACAUGGUCAAAAGGUGUGUCAAUCAGCAUCCACCCAUAAAAGCUGCCUUCUCGUUAAAAGGCUCAGGAGGACA